GAUGAAGAACGUAGUGAAAUGCGAUACUUGGUGUGAAUUGCAGAAUCCCGUGAACCAUCGAGUCUUUGAACGCAAGUUGCGCCCGAAGCCAUCAGGUUGAGGGCACGUCUGCCUGGGCGUCACAUAUCGUUGCCCAAUGCCUAUUGCAGUGCAAUAGGAAUUUCUAGGGCGAAUGAUGGCUUCCCGUGAGCGUUGUUGCCUCGCGGUUGGUUGAAAAUCGAGUCCUUGGUAGGGUGUGCCAUGGUAGAUGGUGGUCGAGUUAGAACGAUACCGAUCAUGUGCAUGCUCCCCAAAAUAUGGCCUCUAUGACCCACAUGCGUCUUUUGACGCUCAUGACGAGACCUCAGGUCAGGCGGGGCUACCCGCUGAAUUUAAGCAUAUCAAUAAGCGGAGGA
This 395-nucleotide unclassified non-coding RNA is filed under the name soil metagenome. RNAcentral describes it as "partial contains 5.8S ribosomal RNA, internal transcribed spacer 2, and large subunit ribosomal RNA". The stretch from base 1 to 122 matches the Rfam family "5.8S ribosomal RNA", at positions 35 to 154 of the family's 154-position model. The record is from RNAcentral.